This 3756-nucleotide long non-coding RNA is filed under the name Linum usitatissimum (flax). RNAcentral describes it as "long non-coding RNA (LUSI_LNC005653)". Lineage: Eukaryota; Viridiplantae; Streptophyta; Magnoliopsida; Malpighiales; Linaceae. The record is from RNAcentral.
AUUAAGAAGUCCCUGAUUUGUCACACAAAUUGACAAUCAACAAACAGAUGAUUAAUAUCAUCAACUCCAUUAUCGCACAAAAGACAUGAAACAUCAAUAGUCAUCCCCAAGAAGCCAUUUGCAAGCGAGUUGUCAAUCGACCCUGAAUCGCAAGCCAAAUGAUGAAACAGUGUUUACUAAUAACUGGGCGCCUUCGCACCAACUGAUGCCAAGGCACUUCAUUCCCCCAUCUCCAUAUCAUAUCCCAAAUCACAACAACUAAGUAUCUAGGCCUUAAUUCACCAUUCCACAAUCGAAGAUUAUCAUCAUCAAAGAAAAUAAAAUGAGCCACUUUGUCCCUAGCAAUCAAAAUCCUUUUCCAAACCUAGGAGUGGUAAGAGGCACCAAUGCAAUCAAGAAUGGAAGUCCUCUUGAGUCUGCGUUCUCUAACCCAAGAAAUCCGGAGAGAUCCUGCCUGCAGCAAAAUACUCCACACAUGACGUAGUAUACAUUCUAGAUUCCAGCCAAACAAAUCUCUAACACCAAGUCCACCUUCUUUCAAUGGAAGAGCAACAAACUUCCAUCUCCCACAUUCCACAAGAAAUCCUUACAUAUUUUCUCAACUGAUCUCAAUACUGACUUAGGAAGAAGAAAAAUUGAAAGCCAGUAUUGACUCAUGGAAUUAAGAACAGAAUUGACUAACUGGAGUCUACCUACAUAACUCAUAACUUUAACUCUCCAACUUUUAAUUCUAGUAGUGAUUUUUUCCAUAAAAACAUCACAAUCCCCGACUGAAAGUUUACCAGACAUAAGUGGAACACCAAGAUAUCAAAAUGGAAGGUACCCCUCCUUAAAACGAGUAGCACUAAUGAUUGUAAGCCUAAUACUAGGGGCAAGAGAUACUGAAAAUAAAAUUUCAAUUUUUAUAGGAUUAAAUUUUAAGCCAGAAAGAGCAUAGAACUCAUUGAGAACCUUGCAAAUAUUAUCAACCCCUUUCUCAAUAUCAUUAAUAAAAACUAGCAAAUCAUCAUCAAAAUAGAGCUGACUAAUUCUCAAUUUUUUGCAUUUCAGAUGGUAAAAAAUGUUACCUUGGCUAGCUUAUUUGAUCAUAAGGUAGUGGAGGAGUUUCAUUGAAGUAACAAACAAAGCAGGAGAUAGUGGAUUACCCUAUCUCAGUCCCUUGUAGUCAGAAAAAUAUCCCACCAUUCCACCUUCAAGCCAAUACCAAACAUCACAUAAUUGAGGCAACCACGAAUCCAGUUAAUAAACUACAAAUGGAAUCCCAUGGCUUGCAUAACAUUAAAUAGAUACUUAAAAUCAACCGAAUCAAAAGUUUUUUUGAAAUCAAUUUUCAAAGCACAUUUAAGAGAAACAACUUUUAGGUGAUAAGCAUUCACCAAAUCAUGAGCGAGCAAGAUGUUGUCUCCAAUCUUUCUACCCUGCACAAAUGCUUAUUGAGUUUUACUAAUAACUUCAGCGGGGCAAAUCACCAUUCUUCUAGCUAGGAUUUUCUCAAUAACUUUAUAAAGGACAUUGCAUCAUGAAUGGGCCUAACAUCUUUUAUAUUAGAAGCAUUAAUCAUCAUAGGCACAAGAGUAAGCCAUGUAGAGUUCACAACACGGGGCAGCUUCCCAGUAGCAAAAGACAGAUGAUUGCCUCCACAAUAUCAGCACUAAUAAAAUUCCAAGCAUCCUUUAAAAAAUAAGCAUGGAAACCAUCACGACCAUAACUCUUAUCAUUUGGGAUGGAAAGCAAAGCAUUCUACAUUUCAUCCACACUGAUAGGAUCACAAAUGGACUUAGCCAUGUUAGCAGAUAGUUUCUUGAGCAGCAAGCCACCAAUCUCUUCCAUAGAAACCUGCUUAACCUCGGGGUUCAUUUCUCCCAAUAACCUUUUAUAGAAAUCAAGAGAAAUAACAGAAAUAUCAUCAAUUUUUGUUACCAGCACUCUAGUGGAAUCCUCCGGUUUGAAAAUUUGAAUUUUAGAUUGCCUCACCUUCACAGAACGAUGAAAGAAACCAGUGUUUGAAUCACCAAGUUUCAACCAGUUCUCACAAGCUUUCUACCUAUAACAAGCUUCGUCUACAUUCUUCAAAUUCAUCCAUUCAACUUAACUUUUCUUUGCUUUUGAAAUCAAAUCAGUGUUAGGGGAAAGAAGAGCAGCUCCCUGGUCCCGGUUUUGAAUGUGUUCUGCUUCCGCCAUUCUACAACUUAUGCCAGAAAAAUAUUGCCGAUUAAACUACUUGAGAGCCCCUCAGACACUAUUGACAUGUGAAUAGACAUGCUCAAACCCCCUUCUAUGACUAGAAACAUCAGAAGAAGACCAAGCAUUCUUAACAAGAUCCUUAUACCCUACCCUCUCCGUCCAGAAAUUGAAGAAAUUGAACGGUUUUGGAAAAGAGCAACUAUUAAGAUGAGUGUCAAGCAGAAUUCCACAAUGAUCCGAGACCCUUAGUUCAAGCAAUUCAUCUCUACUACUAGUAAAAAAGCUAACACAAACAGGAUUAACAAAGCAUUUGUCCAGCUUCCUCGCAAUAUGAUCAUCAACCCUAUUAUUAUGCAAAGUGAAGUAAGCACCAGCAACACUAUGAUCAACAAAUUCAUUACUAUUAAUCCACCCUUGACAAUCCUGCAUCCCCGCUGAGAUUCCCACCUCAUUAGAAGCCUCAUCAGAAGAUGCAAUAGCAUUACAAUCUCCAAUAACAGCAAGUGGGAUAUCAUAAGGAAGAGAACCAAAUGUCUGACAAUACAUUCGAUUCCUUUCCAUUGGCUUGUUUGCCCCAUAAACAAUUCUAGCACCACCAAUCUUCAUUAAGACAUAUUGCUCCGAAUAAUUCAAAACUUCCAAUUGGAUGUAACUUCUCCAAAGAAUCCAAAUCUUUCCCAACGGACUAUAGGCAUAAUUUGUAAAAGACUACCUCGAACCAAACUUCAUUUUUAGGAAUUUUCAGCUUUACUACUCUGUAGUCUAGUUUUUAGAAUACUCAAAAUAUCUAUAUUAUGCUUAUUUACAGAGCUAAUAAUAUAAUUAUGCUUAGUAGGAGAAUUAAACCCUCGCUGAUUCCAAAUCAGAACUUUCAUCUAAUUUUUUUACCUCUUUUUCCGCCCCUCUUAGCUUUUGCAGGAGGAAUGCUGCCUAUCCCAAUGACAUCUCCAAGGACCGCUUGGCUUGGAGAUCGCAAAACAGUAUCCCCAUCAGGAUUUUCCACCAUAAUUCCUUCUUCCUCUUGCUCCUGUGCAGAAUCAUCAAAUGUUUCCUGAAGAGCAUUUGGCACCAACGAGGUUACCACAUCUUCCAUUUGAUCUAGUUCCACUUCAGGGCUCAGGCUGGUAGCCUCCAGUUGCACUGAAACUUGAACAACCAAUAUAUGUUGGACAGUGAAACCAGUCUCCACCUCCUGAGAUGCUUUAAUUGUGACGUCCUCCACCCCUCCAGUCCUUAGCCUAACCAGUAUCCUCGGGAACAAAGGAUUCCCCUUGCUUAGAAGGCUCACCUAGAGCUCCCACAAGUACACCAAGCGGCUCCAUUGUGAUAGGAUGGGCUUUCAACCUCCAUUGCUUCUGAGGCACAACUUGCUUCUUCACUUCAUAAACCCUAGCUUGGGGCAUAUCAAUAGCGAUAUUGAUACACUGACCUUCAAGGUGAAUGACACAAUUCAUGAUGGGAAAUUGAGUAAACAGUGGGUUAGGUUUUGGGACACAACUCUCCGUGAGAGCGCAAAUUUCCCUACAAGAGAAAGCAACUAGGCAACACUAAUAAUUUAGAAAAAGAGUAACU